CGAGCCGGGCGGACGGCCGCGUGAGGGUCCUUGCGAUCCCUCCCGAGGAACGUCCGGGCUCCACAGGGCAGGGUGGUGGCUAACGGCCACCCGGGGUGACCCGCGGGACAGUGCCACAGAAAACAGACCGCCGGGGGCCUCGCGUCCUCGGUAAGGGUGAAACGGUGGUGUAAGAGACCACCAGUGCCCAGGGUGACCUGGGCAGCUAGGUAAACCCCACCCGGAGCAAGGUCAAGAGGGGCCGCCUCCUCGGAGGCGUCCCUGCGCGGACGAUCGAGGGCUGCCCGCCCGAGUCCGCGGGUAGACCGCACGAGGCCGGCGGCAACGCCGGCCCUAGAUGGAUGGCCGUCGCCUCGACGACCGCGAGGUCCCGAGGCACAGAACCCGGCGUACAGCCCGACUCGUCUG
This 408-nucleotide RNase P RNA is filed under the name Streptomyces solincola. Its description in RNAcentral is "Bacterial RNase P class A". It matches the Rfam family "Bacterial RNase P class A". Rfam says of the family: Ribonuclease P (RNase P) is a ubiquitous endoribonuclease, found in archaea, bacteria and eukarya as well as chloroplasts and mitochondria. Its best characterised activity is the generation of mature 5'-ends of tRNAs by cleaving the 5'-leader elements of precursor-tRNAs. The record is from Rfam by way of RNAcentral. Lineage: Bacteria; Bacillati; Actinomycetota; Actinomycetes; Kitasatosporales; Streptomycetaceae.